ACAUAAAUAUCCUUUGUCCUAACAAAAGGUUGUUCUUGAAAAAAGAUUUACAAUUCCUGCCAUAGUAUCCAUUUUGUUCAGCUAUUUGCUGUAAUGGUUUUUUCUAAGGGCGAUCUAAUGUUCUUAUCUUUUGUUUCAUCAGGUUCUCAUGCACCAAAAGAAGCAACAAAAGAUGGAUACAUUUCUCUCAGGUACUCUGGAUGAAUAAAUUUCUCUCAGGUUGUCAAUGCUAGAUGACCAUGACACCAAAAGAUGGAUACAUUUGUAUGCAUUAUCUUCGUUGGAAAAUGAUGUUGUGGCUGUGAUGAACUGUUUGCUGCAAAAG
This 325-nucleotide long non-coding RNA is filed under the name Triticum aestivum (bread wheat). RNAcentral describes it as "long non-coding RNA (TAES_LNC015084)". Lineage: Eukaryota; Viridiplantae; Streptophyta; Magnoliopsida; Poales; Poaceae. The record is from RNAcentral.